UAGACCUUACUCUUAAAUGAAGAUUCAUGACACAAUGAAAUAUUCAGCAAUAUGUUUUCUGUGGCUGCACAUCAAAUACAAAUAAAUGUGGAUGUUUUGCAUCAUUUGUUUGCAAGUGAACUCAAACUUCAUCUUGACAUAUUUGGUGUCUUUAGAAACUGAUUUCUUCUGGAAGUUAUAAUAAAUGUCUGUGGGUUUAACAGAUGUUUAAAUAGAUAUCCUCCACAUAGCGUGUGUCAUGAUGCAUCAAAUUAAUGUGUUGAUUAUGUAAUCAGAUACACAUUUAUUUGUAUUUGAUGUGCAGCCACAGAAAACAUAUUGCUGAAUAUUUCAUUGUGUCAUGAAGCUUUAUUUAAGAGUAAGGCCUAUUACAUCCCAUAAUGUCUACAGAACACAGUAUCAUUUUACUAUCCGGUAUAAACAGUUAA
Molecule: long non-coding RNA, 428 nt
Organism: Sander lucioperca (pikeperch)
Lineage: Eukaryota; Metazoa; Chordata; Actinopteri; Perciformes; Percidae
Exons: 4
Source: RefSeq, a predicted model, not a curated record